UCAAGAAAAAAAAGCAAAAUUAUAGGAUAGUGGAAAAAUGAUUAUAAUGAAUCUAUGCACCCUGACAACACAGAUUUUCUUACUGAUUUACAGAGAGGUGCAUCAAGGAUAUAAGUAGGUUUGCAGAGCAGCAGAAGCAUCACAGAGGUGGUGGCUGCAUUGCAGAAGGCAGCUGUGAUGGUCCCUGCUGCAGAGCCAGGGCACCACAUGGCCAUGACCUGGACUGGUGAUGGGGAUCGAGUUCAUCCUGUUACCUGUGACCCAGCUCCUGGCCUGGACCUCUUGGAAGCAACGAGGAAGAGGAGGGAUGGGGGGCUCCUCCAUCCAUACGCUCCAUCACAGUUACUUCUGGGUGAACUCAUGAAAAUUCCCUGUAACUCUGCACAGCAGUUCGGUGCUCUAAGCCUACCACCUCUUUGAGGACAUCCACACUCUGCAGAGAGAAUAUCCAAGCCCCGUGCACC
This is a long non-coding RNA of Nothoprocta perdicaria, 464 nucleotides long. RefSeq lists it as uncharacterized. The transcript has 4 exons. Lineage: Eukaryota; Metazoa; Chordata; Aves; Tinamiformes; Tinamidae. The record is from RefSeq and is a predicted model, not a curated record.